GUGGGGAAUCUUCCGCAAUGGACGAAAGUCUGACGGAGCGACGCCGCGUGAGUGAAGAAGGCCUUCGGGUCGUAAAGCUCUGUCAUCAGGGACGAACGGCCGGUGGAGUGGAAAGCCACCGGAUUGACGGUACCUGAGAAGGAAGCCACGGCUAACUACGUGCCAGCAGCCGCGGUAAUACGUAGGUGGCAAGCGUUGUCCGGAAUUAUUGGGCGUAAAGCGCGCGCAGGUGGGAUCUUAAGUCCAUUUUGAAAGUUCGGAGCUCAACUCCGUGAUGGGAUGGAAACUGUGAUUCUUGAGUACCGGAGAGGAAAGCGGAAUUCCCCGUGUAGCGGUGAAAUGCGUAGAUAUGGGGAGGAACACCAGUGGCGAAGGCGGCUUUCUGGACGGUGUCUGACACUGAGGCGCGAAAGCUAGGGGAGCGAACGGGAUUAGAAACCCUGGUAGUCC
RNAcentral lists this ribosomal RNA (450 nucleotides) under uncultured bacterium. RNAcentral describes it as "partial 16S ribosomal RNA". It matches the Rfam family "Bacterial small subunit ribosomal RNA", at positions 354 to 796 of the family's 1533-position model. The record is from RNAcentral.